AACUGUGGUCUCUUACCUGAACUUGGAAGCUAAGCAGGGUUGGGUGUGGUUAAUACUUGGAUAGGAGACUGCCCAGGAAUACCAGGUGCUGUAGGUA
This is a ribosomal RNA of Aotus nancymaae (Ma's night monkey), 97 nucleotides long. NCBI's taxonomy places the organism in Eukaryota, Metazoa, Chordata, Mammalia, Primates, Aotidae. The record is from Ensembl.